Molecule: ribosomal RNA, 320 nt
Filed under: uncultured Vibrio sp.
Lineage: Bacteria; Pseudomonadati; Pseudomonadota; Gammaproteobacteria; Vibrionales; Vibrionaceae
Description: bacterial SSU rRNA
Rfam family: Bacterial small subunit ribosomal RNA
Source: RNAcentral
AUUGAACGCUGGCGGCAGGCCUAACACAUGCAAGUCGAGCGGAAACGACAUUACUGAUUCUUCGGAUGAUUUAAUGGGCGUCGGGCGGCGGACGGGUGAGUAAUGCCUAGGAAAUUGCCUUGAUGUGGGGGAUAACCAUUGGAAACGAUGGCUAAUACCGCAUAAUGCCUACGGGCCAAAGAGGGGGAUCUUCGGACCUCUCGCGUCAAGAUAUGCCUAGGUGGGAUUAGCUAGUUGGUGAGGUAAUGGCUCACCAAGGCGACGAUCCCUGGCUGGUCUGAGAGGAUGAUCAGCCACACUGGAGCUGAGACACGGUCCAG